AACAUGGAGUCAAGAGGGACCUAACUGUAAUUAAACCAGGUUAUCAACAUGGAUCAACAGGGACCCUACUGUAAUUAAACCAGGUUAUCAACAUGGAUCAACAUGGACCCAACUGUAAUUAAACCAGGUUAUCAACAUGGAUCAAGAGGGACCUAAGUGUAAUUUAACCAGGUUAUCAACAUGGAUCAAGAGGGACCUAAGUGUAAUUUAACCAGGUUAUCAACAUGGAUCAACAGGGACCCUACUGUAAUUAAACAGGUUAUCAACAUGGAUCAACAUGGACCCUACUGUAAUUAAACCAGGUUAUCAACAUGGAUCAACAUGGACCCUACUGUAAUUUAACCAGGUUAUCAACAUGGAUCAACAGGGACCUAAGUGUAAUUUAACCAAGUUAUCAACAUGGAUCAACAUGGACCCUACUGUAUUAAACCAGGUUAUCAACAUGGAUCAACAGGGACCCUACUGUAAUUAAACCAGGUUAUCAACAUGGAUCAACAUGGACCCUACUGUAAUUAAACCAGGUUAUCAACAUGGAUCAACAUGGACCCAACUGUAAUUAAACCAGGUUAUCAACAAGGAUCAACAGGGACCCUACUGUAAUUAAACCAGGUUAUCAACAUGGAUCAACAUGGACCCAACUGUAAUUAAACCAGGUUAUCAACAUGGAUCAAGAGGGACCUAAGUGUAAUUUAACCAGGUUAUCAACAUGGAUUAACAUGGACCCAACUGUAAUUUAACCAGGUUAUCAACAUGGAUCAACAGGGACCUACUGUAAUUAAACCAGGUUAUCAACAUGGAUCAACA
This is a non-coding RNA of Salvelinus sp. IW2-2015, 804 nucleotides long. The record is from RefSeq and is a predicted model, not a curated record. Lineage: Eukaryota; Metazoa; Chordata; Actinopteri; Salmoniformes; Salmonidae.